This 711-nucleotide ribosomal RNA is filed under the name uncultured bacterium. RNAcentral's name for it is "bacterial SSU rRNA". It matches the Rfam family "Bacterial small subunit ribosomal RNA", at positions 635 to 1344 of the family's 1533-position model. The record is from RNAcentral.
GAGUACCUAGAAUAUGGGAGAGGUAGAUGGAAUUUCUGGUGUAGGGGUAAAAUCCGUAGAGAUCAGAAGGAAUACCGAUUGCGAAGGCGAUCUACCGGAACAUUAUUGACGCUGAGACGCGAAAGCGUGGGGAGCAAACAGGAUUAGAUACCCUGGUAGUCCACGCCCUAAACGAUGUACAUUAGUUGUUGCUAUGCUAGACAUAGCAGUAAUGCAGUUAACACAUUAAAUGUACCGCCUGGGGAGUACGGUCGCAAGAUUAAAACUCAAAGGAAUAGACGGGGACCCGCACAAGCGGUGGAGCAUGUGGCUUAAUUCGACGAUACGCGAAGAACCUUACCUGGCCUUGACAUAGAAAGAAUUUAGCAGAGAUGUAAAAGUGCUAGUUUACUAGAGCUUUCAUACAGGUGCUGCACGGCUGUCGUCAGCUCGUGUCGUGAGAUGUUAGGUUAAGUCCUGCAACGAGCGCAACCCUCGUCACUAGUUACUAACGGUUCGGCCGAGGACUCUAGUGAGACUGCCUUCGCAAGGAGGAGGAAGGUGAGGACGACGUCAAGUCAUCAUGGCCCUUACGGCUAGGGCAACACACGUGCUACAAUGGCCAGGACAAUGAGACGCGAUACCGCGAGGUGGAGCAAAUCUAUAAACCUGGUCUCAGUUCGGACUGUAGUCUGCAACUCGACUACAUGAAGCUGGAAUCACUAGUAAUCG